Long non-coding RNA from Bos indicus x Bos taurus (hybrid cattle), 1099 nucleotides. The record is from Ensembl. NCBI's taxonomy places the organism in Eukaryota, Metazoa, Chordata, Mammalia, Artiodactyla, Bovidae.
GUUGCCAUUUCCUUCUCCAGAGGAUCUUCCCAACCCAGGAAUCGAACUGGAGUCUCCUGCAUUGCAGGCAAAUUCUUUACCGACUGAGCUAUGAGGAAAGCACAUCUCUAUAAUGGAAUAAAAAUGCCUACCUAAACAGGGUGCUUAUGAGGACUGAGUGAGUAACUGCAUGAAAGGCAUCUGCCACACAAUGAGUUCUGGACCAAUACAUGGAAGUUAUUAUUAUUCUUGUUAUUAGAUGGUUACUGUAAGGAAAUGAGCCAUCCUAAUUGUUAGUCAGUGGUAUGUGGUUGUCUAUCUGCACUGGAAUGGACGUGAUAUAGCGUUUAUAGGAGGCAUUGCCUCAUGACUGGGGAAGCUGGAUUGACCAGUUGAGUCCAGCCAUCCAUGCUCGCCAGGUUGAUCUGUCCUUGGGAAGAGUCGUCCAGGAGGUUUCCUCAGUUGAUCCGGUUUGCUGCCUCUCCUACCCACUCCCUCAUCUCUCCAAACCUCCAGGAAACCCUGGUGUGCCUGUGAAGUUCUGUCAGGGGUGGUACUGUGAAAUAUUCAUCCCCUUCAGCUCUCCAAGUGUCUAUAACUGCCUUCGAAAUGGAGAAAUCAUAUAAGCAGCAGGGAAAGGAGGAAGGAGGCUGAAAGGGUGAGUAUUUAUGACAAAUAGAUUGACACUAUUCGGAUGAUACGGUGGAACAAAUGCUAGCAGAUGGGUCUAGAUGUCAUUGCCUACUUUUGCUACUAUUAUCACUCUUACCAUCAUCUUUCAUUCUGAAUUUCUCCAAUCUUCUAAUCUUGUUUUUUUGACAACUCUGACCAGUUAGCCUAGCCAUUCAUCCCCGCCCAGGAGUUCAUGAAUAUCCCUGAUUCAGGCUCCUUCUUCCUCUAUUAAAAGUGAAAAACCAAGUACACUGCUCUUGGCCUUGCCCUUUGGGAGGAUUUCCCUUCACCAGCGCAGCCACCCCUGAGUGGGGCUGUAACGUGGCCACAGUCCUCCUACAACUGGCUCUGACAUACUGUGCUGACUCAGCUGUGAGCCAGGAGCUUUUAUUUCUAAUCUUGUUUUUGUUUUUGGCCUGCUUCAUCUGUGGAUCAUAAUUAAUGCCCA